Non-coding RNA from Pelobates cultripes (western spadefoot toad), 288 nucleotides. NCBI's taxonomy places the organism in Eukaryota, Metazoa, Chordata, Amphibia, Anura, Pelobatidae. The record is from the annotation of a GenBank genome assembly.
CUGAGGGUGUGGUGAUCAAUGGAUAUGACUGUUGAAAUAAGCAAACCGUGACAGAAGGCAGUGUGAACUGGGCUAUGGAGGCAAGGGCAGUAAAAUGAGAAGUGUCAUCGAGAAAGACCGUAUGCUUUUCUAAUAAGGUUUUUAGUGGUUUCUUUAAAGGACUGGAGAUGAUGAAAGAAUGAUGGCAUAGCAGCCUUUCAAAAAUAUUGCAGAUAAUGUGGGAAUGAGCAGAUGUCAUUUGCAGAGCAAAGGGAACAGAAAUGGAUCAUUUUUGCCAACAGGUUUAGC